GCCACACACCCCGAGCCCUGCCUGCGGGCCCAGCCCCCCCAUUUCCGGAGCCUGCACCCCGGACCCAGCGGGGGCCGAUCCCUGGGAAAGGCCUGGCUUCCUUUUCCUUCCUGUCCCUGCCCCACCUCCGCCGGGCUCCACAGCCGCCGGGAGUCCAGGGCCGAGACGGGAGGAGGGUACCCACCUGGUCGGUGUCACAUGCUGCUUCGGCCCCAGCGUCCCCUCCAGGUCCCGGCGCCGGCCGCAGUCCCCAGCGCCGUCCCCAGCGCAGGCCCGGCCGCCCCACCCGCGGCCCGCCCCUGGCCGCCCGACGGGAGGGAGGGAUCGGGUUCUCCUAGGAAGUUUCAGUAUGCAUUCUUAGAAACCAGAUAUACAAAGACAAGCUCUCUGCUUUCAAGAAGCUCUCAAUCUGAUCGAGGAGAGAAACAGGUAGCAAAUAAUGACAGCAGAGCGUGAACUGGGAAGAAAGGACCCUGAAAAGUUAGCUGGUUCCAAGUGACCCUCCAAGGGGAAGAGUGCUGGAUUCAGAGCCCACCUCUGGGGAAGACAGGACCCUCUCCAAGGUGGCUUCCCUAGAAGCUACUACUUCUCCCUGGAGGGUGGAGAUAUUUGCUGGUCAAAGCAAGAAGGCCCUCUGCAGAUGCUGACAACUUGAUAUUGGAUUUCCCAGAUUCCAGAACUCUGAGAAAUAAAUUUCUAUUUUAAAU
This 707-nucleotide non-coding RNA is filed under the name Pongo abelii (Sumatran orangutan). Lineage: Eukaryota; Metazoa; Chordata; Mammalia; Primates; Hominidae. The record is from RNAcentral.